Molecule: ribosomal RNA, 1922 nt
Filed under: human gut metagenome
Description: bacterial LSU rRNA
Rfam family: Bacterial large subunit ribosomal RNA
Source: RNAcentral
ACCGUCGAACCUGAAACCCUGUGUCUACAAGCUGUGGAAGCACUUUACAUGUGCGACCGCGUACUUUUUGUAGAACGGUCCGGCGAGUUACGCUUACUGGCAAGGUUAAGCACUUCAGGUGCGGAGCCGUAGGGAAACCAAGUCUUAAGAGGGCCUUAAGUCAGUAGGAGUAGACCCGAAACCGGGUGAUCUAUCCAUGUCCAGGUUGAAGCUGCCGUAAGAGGUAGUGGAGGACCGAACCCACAUCCGUUGAAAAGGGUGGGGAUGAGGUGUGGAUAGGGGAGAAAUUCCAAUCGAACCCGGAGAUAGCUGGUUCUCCUCGAAAUAGCUUUAGGGCUAGCCUCGAUACAGAUUUGCGGAGGUAGAGCACUGAAUUUCCUAGGGGGCGUCAAAGCCUACCGAAGAAUAUCAAACUCCGAAUGCCGCGUAAUCGAUUAUCGGGAGUCAGACUGCACGAGAUAAGUUGGGCGGUCAAAAGGGAAAGAGCCCAGACCUUCAGUUAAGGUCCCCAAGUGCGCGUUAAGUGGAAAAGGAUGUGGGAUUUCGAAGACAACCAGGAUGUUGGCUCAGAAGCAGCCAUCCAUUCAAAGAGUGCGUAAUAGCUCACUGGUCGAGAGGUCCUGCGCCGAAAAUGUCCGGGGCUGAAACGCGCCACCGAAACUAAGGAACCGAAAGGUUGGUAGAGGAGCAUUGCAUGCGGGAAGAAGCAGUACCGUAAGGAGCUGUGGACUGCAUGGAAGAGAGAAUGCCGGAAUGAGUAGCGAGAAUAAGGUGAGAAUCCUUAUGGCCGAAUAUCCAAGGUUUCCAGAGUAAAGCUGAUCUGCUCUGGGUAAGUCGGGGCCUAAGGCGAGGACGAGAGUCGUAGCCGAUGGACAACAGGUGGAGAUUCCUGUACUGCGGUAUGACAGAACUGUGGGGACACGUAAGGAAAGCGGAAGCCGGGAAUGGAUAGCCCGGUGCAAGCGGGGUACCAGUCACUUUGGCAAAUCCGGGUGGCAAUGGGAAGCCGUGAUGCGGAGCGAAAUAAAGUAGCGAAGUCCGUGAGCCAUGCGUCAAGAAAAGCCGCUAUUGUUUAUACCGUACCCGUACCGUAAACCGACACAGGUGGAUGAGGAGAGAAUCCUAAGGCCGGCGGAAGAAGCAUUGUCAAGGAACUCGGCAAAAUGGCCCCGUAACUUAGGGAUAAGGGGUGCCUGGGAAACCAGGCCGCAGAGAAUAGGCUCAAGCAACUGUUUAGCAAAAACACAGGUCUAUGCGAAACCGAAAGGUGAGGUAUAUGGGCUGACGCCUGCCCGGUGCUGGAAGGUUAAGAGGAGAGGUUAGCGGUAACGCGAAGCUUUGAAUUUAAGCCCCAGUAAACGGCGGCCGUAACUAUAACGGUCCUAAGGUAGCGAAAUUCCUUGUCGGGUAAGUUCCGACCCGCACGAAAGGCGUAAUGAUUUGAGCGCUGUCUCGACAAUGCAUCCGGUGAAAUUGAAGUACCAGUGAAGAUGCUGGUUACCUGCGCCAGGACGGAAAGACCCCAUGGAGCUUUACUCCAGUCUGGUACUGGGACUCGGUAUUGCAUGUACAGGAUAGGUGGGAGGCUAGGAGAUGGUAACGCCAGUUGCCAUGGAGCCGCUGUUGGGAUACCACCCUUGCAGUAUUGGGUUUCUAACCAGCCGCCGUGACCCGGCGGUGGGACAAUGCCAGACGGGGAGUUUGACUGGGGCGGUCGCCUCCGAAAGGGUAUCGGAGGCGCCCAAAGGUUCCCUCAGAAUGGACGGAAACCAUUCGAAGAGUGCAAAGGCAGAAGGGAGCUUGACUGCGACACCGACGGGUGGAGCAGGUACGAAAGUAGGACUUAGUGAUCCGGUGGCAUAAAGUGGGAUUGCCAUCGCUCAACGGAUAAAAGCUACCCUGGGGAUAACGACCUCGAGGGG